RNAcentral lists this ribosomal RNA (291 nucleotides) under uncultured bacterium. RNAcentral describes it as "partial 16S ribosomal RNA". It matches the Rfam family "Bacterial small subunit ribosomal RNA", at positions 505 to 796 of the family's 1533-position model. The record is from RNAcentral.
GUGCCAGCCGCCGCGGUAAUACAGAGGGUGCAAGCGUUAAUCGGAAUUACUGGGCGUAAAGCGAGCGUAGGUGGCUUGAUAAGUCAGAUGUGAAAUCCCCGGGCUUAACCUGGGAACUGCAUCUGAAACUGUUAGGCUAGAGUAGGUGAGAGGGAAGUAGAAUUUCAGGUGUAGCGGUGAAAUGCGUAGAGAUCUGAAGGAAUACCGAUGGCGAAGGCAGCUUCCUGGCAUCAUACUGACACUGAGGCUCGAAAGCGUGGGUAGCAAACAGGAUUAGAUACCCAGUAGUCC